AUAUCCUCAAGCCACAUACUUGGUUCGAAAAAGCGAGCGAUUCUGUCGCCAUGGCGCUAAGCGCCUUAAAGCGAGCACCUCCUCGCAUAGGGACCCCAUUGCCAGGCGAGGAUACACAAAGCGUUCGCUUUGAGGCGCCAUGGCGGUAAGCGCUAAUCUCCCACCUCUUCGCUUCGUCUCGCCACACGC
Long non-coding RNA from Raphanus sativus (radish), 189 nucleotides. RefSeq lists it as uncharacterized. The record is from RefSeq and is a predicted model, not a curated record. The transcript has 2 exons. Lineage: Eukaryota; Viridiplantae; Streptophyta; Magnoliopsida; Brassicales; Brassicaceae.